AUUUUUUAAAAAAAGAAGAAGAUGAAAUGUUAGUAAAAUGUUUUAUAUAUCAACUAAAUUUGUAUACAAUAAUGGUAUUAAUCAUUAUUAUUUGGUUAAAAAAAAAUAAUCAUUAGUACUUGAAAAGUACAUUUUAAAAAAAAUGUAAGUCACAGAAAAAUAGUCAUGUGCUUUGUGUAGAAAGGAGACAUGCAAUACAAACAUAAAUUUGUAUUAAUAACUAAUCUGUUAAUAAAUAAAGUAUGGCAAAGAUUUGGACAAUAAAAUUCUUUAGAGCAUUAAAUGUACUGAAAUCUGGUAUCAUUUUUAGUUUUAUUGGAAACGUAUAUCAAAGUAUACUAAAAGAAACUAAAUUAGCAACUCUGUAAUAGGCACAUUGUUUAUUGAUGUUCAAUGUUGUUCACAAAAAUCAGGAAAAGCAGCAAGAUUUUGUAUUUCAGAUUUUAAGAUCUAUCUUUUGAAAUAUACAAGUAUGAAAAUACAUUUUUGUUGUAAAAUUGAAAUAUAGAAAAAAAAAAAAAAAAAGAACUG
Biomphalaria pfeifferi is the source of this 531-nucleotide non-coding RNA. The record is from the annotation of a GenBank genome assembly. Lineage: Eukaryota; Metazoa; Mollusca; Gastropoda; Planorbidae.